RNAcentral lists this ribosomal RNA (451 nucleotides) under uncultured bacterium. RNAcentral's name for it is "bacterial SSU rRNA". It matches the Rfam family "Bacterial small subunit ribosomal RNA", at positions 29 to 524 of the family's 1533-position model. The record is from RNAcentral.
AACGAACGCUGGCGGCAUGCCUAACACAUGCAAGUCGAACGAGACCUUCGGGUCUAGUGGCGCACGGGUGCGUAACGCGUGGGAACCUGCCUUUAGGUUCGGAAUAACUCAGAGAAAUUUGAGCUAAUACCGGAUAAUGUCUUCGGACCAAAGAUUUAUCGCCUUUAGAUGGGCCCCGCGUAAGAUUAGCUAGUUGGUGGGGUAAAGGCCUACCAAGGCGACGAUCUUUAGCUGGUCUGAGAGGACGAUCAGCCACACUGGGACUGAGACACGGCCCAGACUCCUACGGGAGGCAGCAGUGGGGAAUAUUGGACAAUGGGCGAAAGCCUGAUCCAGCAAUGCCGCGUGAGUGAUGAAGGCCUUAGGGUUGUAAAGCUCUUUUACCCGAGAUGAUAAUGACAGUAUCGGGAGAAUAAGCUCCGGCUAACUCCGUGCCAGCAGCCGCGGUAAU